GAACGCUAGCGACAGGCUUAACACAUGCAAGUCGAGGGGCAGCACAGGUAGCAAUACCGGGUGGCGACCGGCGCACGGGUGAGUAACGCGUAUGCAACUUACCUAUCAGAGGGGGAUAACCCGGCGAAAGUCGGACUAAUACCGCAUGAAGCAGGGGCCCCGCAUGGGGAUAUUUGCUAAAGAUUCAUCGCUGAUAGAUAGGCAUGCGUUCCAUUAGGCAGUUGGCGGGGUAACGGCCCACCAAACCGACGAUGGAUAGGGGUUCUGAGAGGAAGGUCCCCCACAUUGGUACUGAGACACGGACCAAACUCCUACGGGAGGCAGCAGUGAGGAAUAUUGGUCAAUGGCCGAGAGGCUGAACCAGCCAAGUCGCGUGAGGGAUGAAGGUUCUAUGGAUCGUAAACCUCUUUUAUAAGGGAAUAAAGUGCGGGACGUGUCCCGUUUUGUAUGUACCUUAUGAAUAAGGAUCGGCUAACUCCGUGCCAGCAGCCGCGGUAAUACGGAGGAUCCGAGCGUUAUCCGGAUUUAUUGGGUUUAAAGGGUGCGUAGGCGGCCUUUUAAGUCAGCGGUGAAAGUCUGUGGCUCAACCAUAGAAUUGCCGUUGAAACUGGGAGGCUUGAGUAUGUUUGAGGCAGGCGGAAUGCGUGGUGUAGCGGUGAAAUGCAUAGAUAUCACGCAGAACCCCGAUUGCGAAGGCAGCCUGCCAAGCCAUUACUGACGCUGAUGCACGAAAGCGUGGGGAUCAAACAGGAUUAGAUACCCUGGUAGUCCACGCAGUAAACGAUGAUCACUAGCUGUUUGCGAUACACUGUAAGCGGCACAGCGAAAGCGUUAAGUGAUCCACCUGGGGAGUACGCCGGCAACGGUGAAACUCAAAGGAAUUGACGGGGGCCCGCACAAGCGGAGGAACAUGUGGUUUAAUUCGAUGAUACGCGAGGAACCUUACCCGGGUUUGAACGCAUUCGGACCGAGGUGGAAACACCUUUUCUAGCAAUAGCCGUUUGCGAGGUGCUGCAUGGUUGUCGUCAGCUCGUGCCGUGAGGUGUCGGCUUAAGUGCCAUAACGAGCGCAACCCUUGCCACUAGUUACUAACAGGUAAAGCUGAGGACUCUGGUGGGACUGCCAGCGUAAGCUGCGAGGAAGGCGGGGAUGACGUCAAAUCAGCACGGCCCUUACAUCCGGGGCGACACACGUGUUACAAUGGCGUGGACAAAGGGAAGCCACCUGGCGACAGGGAGCGAAUCCCCAAACCACGUCUCAGUUCGGAUCGGAGUCUGCAACCCGACUCCGUGAAGCUGGAUUCGCUAGUAAUCGCGCAUCAGCCAUGGCGCGGUGAAUACGUUCCCGGGCCUUGUACACACCGCCCGUCAAGCCAUGGGAGCCGGGGGGACAAGAAGUCCGUAACCGCGAGGA
Molecule: ribosomal RNA, 1413 nt
Filed under: uncultured organism
Description: 16S ribosomal RNA
Rfam family: Bacterial small subunit ribosomal RNA
Source: RNAcentral